AUGGACCACAAGACUGCCGCCCGGCCGGAAAGCGUACGGGCGUUCGCCCUCGCCCGCGCCACCGUCGUCGUCUUCGCCUUGGCCACAGCGGCCGACUACGUACUCGACCGCUACCACCUCUGCAGCAGCCACAGUCAGGCUUCCUUCAUCCUGCCGUGCGUCAGGGUGACGGCCGCGGCGGCCGCCGAGUGGAGGGCCCUCUGGCUCGCCAUGGUCUGCUGCGCGGUGCUCGAGGUGACCGUCGCGGCGCUGGCACUGCGGCAUCCACGCCGCGCCCUGGCCCUCGCCUACCUCCAGCUCGCGCUCACCAUCGUCCGCCACUACAUGUACGUCCGCGCCCUCCGCAUCCUCCUCGCCGCCGACCCAGGAUACCACCUCACCUUGAUCUGCAUCGCGAGCAUCUCCUGCUUCAUAGCGCGCGACGCCACCAGCUUCAUGUUCAUGGACCUUCUCCUCGGAGGCGAGGAGUGA
Molecule: ribosomal RNA, 471 nt
Filed under: Triticum aestivum (bread wheat)
Lineage: Eukaryota; Viridiplantae; Streptophyta; Magnoliopsida; Poales; Poaceae
Description: partial small subunit ribosomal RNA
Source: RNAcentral